UACGUAGGGUGCGAGCGUUGUUCGGAAUCACUGGGCGUAAAGGGCGUGUAGGCGGUCAGGUAAGUGAGACGUGAAAUGCCCCGGCUUACCCGGGGACCUGCGUCUCAUACUGCUUGGCUUGAGUACGGGAGAGGGUGUGGGAAUUCCUGGUGUAGCGGUGAAAUGCGUAGAUAUCAGGAGGAACACCGGUGGCGAAGGCGCACACCUGGCCCGAUACUGACGCUGAGGCGCGAAAGCUAGGGGAGCAAACGGG
RNAcentral lists this ribosomal RNA (253 nucleotides) under uncultured bacterium. RNAcentral describes it as "partial 16S ribosomal RNA". It matches the Rfam family "Bacterial small subunit ribosomal RNA", at positions 524 to 776 of the family's 1533-position model. The record is from RNAcentral.